UCUUGGUUCAGGAUGAACGCUAGCUACAGGCUUAACACAUGCGAGUCGAGGGGCAGCAUAACGAAAGCUUGCUUUGUUGAUGGCGACCGGCGCACGGGUGAGUAACGCGUAUCCAACCUUCCCGCGAGUAGGGAACAGCCCGGUGAAAGUCGGAUUAAUGCCCUAUGUUCUCCGAUGACGGCAUCAGAGUUGGAGUAAAGAUUUAUCGCUUGCGGAUGGGGAUGCGUCUGAUUAGCUUGUUGGCGGGGUAACGGCCCACCAAGGCGACGAUCAGUAGGGGUUCUGAGAGGAAGGUCCCCCACAUUGGAACUGAGACACGGUCCAAACUCCUACGGGAGGCAGCAGUGAGGAAUAUUGGUCAAUGGGCGGAAGCCUGAAAACCCAGCCAAGUAGCGUGAGGGAUGACUGCCCUAUGGGUUGUAAACCUCUUUUGUUCGGGAAUAAAGUUCGGGACGUGUCCCGUUUUGUAUGUACCGUUCGAAUAAGGACCGGCUAAUUCCGUGCCAGCCGCCGC
This 514-nucleotide ribosomal RNA is filed under the name uncultured bacterium. RNAcentral's name for it is "bacterial SSU rRNA". It matches the Rfam family "Bacterial small subunit ribosomal RNA", at positions 17 to 518 of the family's 1533-position model. The record is from RNAcentral.